This 380-nucleotide ribosomal RNA is filed under the name uncultured eukaryote. RNAcentral describes it as "partial 18S ribosomal RNA". It matches the Rfam family "Eukaryotic small subunit ribosomal RNA", at positions 592 to 976 of the family's 1831-position model. The record is from RNAcentral.
CAAUAGCGUAUAUUAAUGUUGUUGCAGUUAAAAAGCUCGUAGUUGGAUUUCUGGUGGGAGCGGCCGGUCCGCCGUAAGGUGUGUACUUGGUUGUCUCCUGUCAUCCUUGUGGGAACUGCUCUGGCAUUAAGUUGUCGGGGUUAGGGAACACAUCGUUUACUGUGAAAAAAUUAGAGUGUUUAAAGCAGGCUUAUGUCGUUGAAUACAUUAGCAUGGAAUAAUAAGAUAGGACUUUGGCGUCUAUUUUGUUGGUUUGCACACCAAGGUAAUGAUUAAUAGGGAUAGUUGGGGGUAUUCGUAUUUAAUUGUCAGAGGUGAAAUUCUUGGAUUUAUGAAAGACGAACUUCUGCGAAAGCAUUUACCAAAGAUGUUUUCAUUAA